CAAGACCCAAGCUGAAGGCAGACACUUAAUGACUGAGCCACCCAAGUGGACCCGUUGGAAGUUUUUCAAAAGGUGAAAUUGAAAUUUAUUUUUAGGACAAAUUGAUGUUAUUAUGAAGACUGCCACCCCAAUGGCUUUUUAGCUGUGUAAAUAAAAUGUGAAAGAUUUUUCCCUGAAAUAGAGGCUUUUUUAAGAUUCAAGGAGUAUUAUGUAACUAUUAUACUCCAUGCAUAAAUAUCUGCUGAGAGAGUCCUCUGGGCCAGGCCACAUGCUAGACAUACAGAGCUGAACAGCCAAGAUAUGGUUCUUGCCCUCGUGGAACUUACAGCCUAGUGUGAGAGACAGAAGAUGAACUAAAUGUUAACAAUAUGUUAGAUGAGACUUUCCUACUAUCUAGGUAUUUCGCCAGAAGUUCCAAGCCUGAGAAAUCACACAUUCAAAAGAAAGGGUUUAGUUUCUUUUUCAGACAGGAGAGACAGGAGUUUGAACGAGUGGUGAGUAGAUCUCAAGGGAAACAAAUAAAUAAGGUAAUUAUUCAUUCCAGGAGUACAAGUUAUGUAAGGAAAGGAAAGUAAUCAUGGAAUAUUAUAUAUCUGGGCUCUGAAUAGAGUUUACAUAAUUAUAAUAAUAUAAGCAGUAAUCAUUGAGAAAAUACAAAUACUCAAAAAUACACACAUACAUAGAGAAAGAGAGUGAGACACAGCGAGGGGAGACACGGAAUGAUAAAGAGAACAGCAACAACAGCAAAACAGAUCAGAGGAGGAAAGAAAGGAGAUAGAUAAAUCGGUAGUAGAUGGAUAAUAGGCGGAUGGAAAGAGGGGAAGUGUUUUGUGUGUGGUGGGGACAGUUACGGGAGAAAGCACAGGUAAAAGAAAAGAAUAAAUCCACUCUUCCCUAUUGAGAGGAUGAUAAAAUCUACAAAUGAAAAAUUUUAAAAAAUAGUUAAAAACAUGCUAUUUAGAGAUGUGUCGGUAAGUACCAAAAUAAGCAAAAGAGCCAAGCAGGAACCAGUAUUUGUGUAACAAGCCUUGUAAACUGAACGUGAAAUGUUAAUAAAAAUAAAAAUGAGCUUCAAGCAAACAGUAUGUGACCGUAUUCUCUAGCUGCUAAGAUAUUUGAGUCACAUCAGGAUUUUAAGUCAUCAGAAUGUUUUGGAGAAUUCAUGCUUCACUGUCCAAGAAAAUAGUCUGUUGUUUUUCCUUUCGGCUAAUAUCUGAAUCUGUGUUACGGCUAACUUUUCUAACUUUGUUCUUAUGAACCACUGUGUAUGGGGGACAUUUUGAAAGCAAGAACAGAAGACCUGAAUUACUUUCACCAUUCAGCUGCUUAAUAACUGCCAAGCACAGCAGUGAGCAAAAAUUCCUGCCCUCUUUCGAGCUUUGGGAUAGAAGGUGGGACAGAAGAGACAGAAAAAAACCUGAAAGACAAGCAAGUUAUCCGUUACGGUACCUGAUGACGACAACAGCUUAAGAAGAUUCAAUUGGCUGGUGUGAUUGAUAGAAUUAAGUGGCUAAUGACUGAGGAGGUGGGACAUUUCCAAUUCCAAAGGAAGAAUUGGAGCAAGCAAUAUGGGAGAUAUCAUCUGUGAUUUUUCAUCUUGACUAGUAGAAAAGGAUAAUCCUUAUGUAAUUGUUUGGAACAUUUAUGAUAUAGAAUACAUAAAAUUAAAUAAUGUCUACUGCAGCCCCCCUCCCUUUGGACCUGAGUGAUUUCCUAUCCAAUUUUCCUCUCACUUGGUCAAUUCAUUUUUCAGCUGGGUCCUCUUGAAGAAACAAAACAUAAAUUGGACUUGCCAUUGUGUCUUGGACUAUUUUUGGUGACAAUUUUCUGUGACAGGGAAAAAGAAUUGCUAAUUCAUUGCUUCAGGAAAUGAAGGCCUAAUAGCCUCACAUCUGGUAAAUUAUGGUCUUCCUGCUUCUUGAGGCAGCAACAGUACACACAACAUUAUUUGGAAUUAAGAAAAAGCA
Long non-coding RNA from Mustela erminea (ermine), 1967 nucleotides. RefSeq lists it as uncharacterized. The transcript is spliced from 4 exons. NCBI's taxonomy places the organism in Eukaryota, Metazoa, Chordata, Mammalia, Carnivora, Mustelidae. The record is from RefSeq and is a predicted model, not a curated record.